GGACUCUGUGAGAUCAGAGACAAGGAGUAAAAUGCCUGAGCUCAAGUGACAACAAGCAACCCCAGACUAGAGACAGGAUCCUUCUCCCCACUUCGAGCAGAUCCCAGCAUGAAUCCUGCAGUAUGGUGAUGGCAAAAGUCAGUGCAGGACCACUGGGACUCCUGGAGCUUCUCACAUCUCUGAGAGCACCAGCAGCAGUCCCCAGAUAGCAGAUGACUGGUAGGAAGAUGAGGCAAGUUUGCGGUCCAUUGUCAUGGAUAGUGGAGACAACACUGGGCCAGAAGUGGUAAGACCUGAAUCCAAGACUCAGCUCUGCCACUUGCUAAAUGGGACUUUGAAUAAACCAUUUCUCUGCACUUAAGUUCCUUACCAACAAAACGAGGGAAGUGGCCUACAUGCCUAGAUAUCAACAUUUCAUGUCACGUAGAGAUCUAGCAUCACAAGAAUCCAAGUCAUCCUCUGUUGCCUUUAAGGUAAGCGCUGUUGAAAAAUAAUCAGCUAUCAGAGUGCUCAAUUCCAGUCUUCAAUUACGUAAAGAAAACCAAUACCGUAUACCUCUUGGCCUGCCCAUUUCAGGACAGGGUGGAGGAGGCAGAAGGAAGUGGGAGUUGCACUGGGGAGGGAGAGAGACUAGCUCUUCCAGCUGCUCUUAUGAUGAGGAAAUAAUUACUUAAUGGCUAGGCAAUUUGUGAAGCAGCUGCUGGUGGUUUGGGGACCCAGCUGUUCCAAAAAAUAAAAAGAAUUGGGUUUUCUCUUUCCAUAUCCUUCCCAUAGUAGACAAAUUAGAUAUGUAGUUUCAAAAUAAAUGAUUAAUUCCUACUGAGAAAUGUUCUUUAGAAUCCCUUGUUGAGUAAGAGUCUAAAGGAUUGGUUAAGUUUCAAUGCUCACAUUUAAAAAUAAAUCUUAAAAGUAUGAGAAUUUGAGAGAAAUCUAAGCUCAUCGGAAAUGUAUACCAAACCCUCUACCUGAUGUUGCUAUAAUUGAUAGUCAUUUUUUUUAAUCCCUGAGGUAAAAUAAAAUCAAACAAUAACAUGCCAGAACAACUGUCUCUUUUUUCUGGCUACGGAGUGUGGAACAAAAGCAGGUUCCAUUCUUUGGUGGCAUUGGCCAGGCAAGCAGGGUGUCUGGACAGCUAGGGAGAAGGUGACAAUGGGAUGGAAAUCAGAUGCUCACUCAGUAAAUAUCUGUGAGCAAGUAAGUGGACUAGGGAUUUUGUGGGUUUUUUAUGUCAUCCUCAGAGGCAUGAGGGAAGAAGGUCUCAGUCUAUCCAUCGUGCAGAUGAAAAAACCAAAGCCCACAUGACUUACUCACCUAAGCUUUCCCAGUGGUGAUGUGUGGAAUCAAGUUGAAAAGGUAGAAAAGAGGUUAAAGGAAACACAUUUGGAGUCUAGCUGUUUGAAUCCUGGAUCUGCCAGUGUCUGAGGUUGGACAAGUGACUUAGCCAUCGAGGCUUCCUUUCCACUCAGCACAGUUGUCCAGCAGACCGUGAGCUCCAAUUCAGUGACAGAGAUGAUUAACUCCGUCUGGCUUGAAACGCUUGCUCAUGUACUACACUUUGCUACGCUGAAAGUAACACAGGUUUGCAGAAAAAAAAUAAUAAUCAGCGCCACAUCUGGCUACAGAAAACCCAUUAUAUACCACAAAACAGCAUGUAUUAGCUUGGCUUACAUUACAUUUAUGUUGUUCAGAAAGAAACAGGAAUCAAGAGGGAUGUAAUUCUGACUCUUUUCAUGGGGUGGUCAUUAAACAGCCUUUACUCACCUUUCCACUCUGAGUAUUAACUUCUGAGUUGUCAGUGGUCUGAGCAGGACCUGGGCAGCAUGUUGCAUUUUCAGCAGUUGCAGGAGGACAUCUUUCCAUAAAUUUCCCCUGGAAGGAAGGAAAUAAUAACAUAAUCUCAUCAUCUGCUGAUUGAACAAGAUCUGCUAUAUUACAAAUCUGCUUAGCUGAGGAGCGGCUCUCCUGGCCUGCUUUCCUCCAGCUGUCUAAAUAUUACUUAGUUCCAAAACCUGUCUUACUCCUACUUCCUCCAACAAAUCCCAUCUCAAGGCCUUCAGGCCACACUGACCUCUUUCUCCUUUUCAGAGUCCCAAAGUUCCUUGCAUCUGUACCACACAUUUCAGAACUUGUUUUGAUGAUCUUGUAUUGUCCUCUGACUCAUUUUAAACCAAUAUUUGUUCCUUGAGAAUGAAGAUCAUACUAACAAUCUCUUUGUCCCCUGCAGAUUUCAGCAUGGUGAAGGAAAAGUAGCAGAAGACUGAAUGCAUACUCAGUUUUCAAGCUCUGGAUUUAAUCUUUCCAUAGCUGGAAUUGCCUCCUCCUCAAAAGCCUUAUUUGUUCAUUUAAUUGGGGCAACAUGAAAUAAUGAUGUAUCAUUGACAGAGAACAGGGGGCUUAGGUUCUCAUCUUGGUCCUAGUGAUUACUCUAUGCAUAACCUCAACUUCUUUAUCUGUACAUUGGGAACAAUAAUUCUUACUCCACUUGUUGUGUUGAAACUGAAUUAUAUAAUUCAUAAAUUAAAACACCAAAUUCUGAUAAAUGCUAAAUGCCAUUUUCUUAUCUUGUUCUUUCCUAUAAUGCCCAUUUUGAUAUAAACCAGGCUCCCUAGUCAGUCUUGCAGAAGGUAUUCUCAAGAAGAACUUAUAUCUUUGGUUUAUCAACAAAUUUGCAAAGCUGUGUUGAUAAUCUAGAGCUGAGUCUUUUAACAAGUUUUAACAAUAUCUCAAUUACUAUGAUGUAGGUCUCUUAAUAAAAUGUAAAUGUAAAUGUGACAGAAGUCAACAUUAGGACUUUUAGGAAGGGAUAUAGACACUCAACAUUCCUCUUUGUUCAGGAGGGUGACAUAGCACAGCUUGCCACCUGUGAGCUAACCUUAUCUAGAACACAGCAUAGGAACUACUGCUUGACUAGAAAACUAAUUUAUAAAGCUUAAGGAACUUAAGGGACUUUCAGGGACUAAUUUACCAUCAUAAAAUAUCUAUCUCUACGAAGAAAGAAGAGAGUUUUAAGUACUUGAAAAUAAAAAUCUUAUAUUUUAGACUUUUUGAGUGAAACUUCUUCACCCUUGCAAUAGACUGGCCAGAAAAAGAGUGAUUGCCAUCUCCCAUCUCUUAGAAUAGCAUGCUUGCCUGCAGACUCUGUGGCCAUGUUUCAACAACUGGAUUAGACCUCUUUCAAUAUCAAAUCCAUAUCUGAUCAAUUUCAAGUUGUUCCUGUCCCUUGGGAGUGGUUUGCCAUUUCCUGCCUAUGACUGAAUUCCUGCUUUCUUCUUAUCCUCAAUAGCUCAUGGCACGGACAUUCUCGUGUGCCUUGUCCACAUCAUGACCCUGCUAUCCAUUUGGGUGACCUCCACACUUUGUGUUUCCCACUUUCAUAUCACAUGAGACUCUCAAGGAGAGAGUUUCAGGAUGGGUAAAGCUAAGAAGUAAAAAUAGAAAAGGUGGUGAAAAUUCAGUAGACUAGCAUACAGGUUGACAGAAGAACACAUUUAUUUUCUAGUGGGGAGUGAUCCGUGAAGAAAGACCCGAAUCAAGAAGUCUUUCAGAAUUCUGGUUUUAAUAGUUUCCCAAAUUUACUUAUUAACAUUUACAUUCAAGCCAGAGAGAAAAGAGAGGAAGUCAUUCAAGAGAAAAUUGUCACAAGAAGAGCCUAUCCAAUGGAAAUGGCCACCUCUUAUUGAUCACUUACCAUAGGCUGGGUGUAUAGGGCAAGGGUCCUUAAGAUUAGCUGCAUAGCAGAAUCACCAAGGGAACUUUUACAAAUCCUGAUGCCAGGGCUAACUGCAGACCAAUACAGGUGGAAUCCAACAUAUUUAAAGCUACAUAAGUCAUUUCAAUGUGCAGCUAAUUUUGAGAGCCACUUUCAAUGGUGCUAGAGCCAGCUCUUAUUAGCUCACAGAAGCCAAUUAUUAAAUUUUCAGUAAUUCUGUAAGCGAAACACAUUGGCCACAGAGGGAAUAUUUACACCAUGGAAACUUACAAAUGCUGCAAAUCGUUUUUUUAUCUCUCUGGAGAACUAGUUUUUAAACAUUUAUAAACACACUGGUGGCCCUAAGGGGUAAACAUAUAACUUGCUAUUUAAAUCUGGGCAAUUUUAAGACACAUAGAGGGGAACAAAACAUACUGGAGCCUGCCAGAGGGUGAGGGGUGUGAGGAGGUAGAGGAUCAGGAAGAAUAACUAACGGGUACUAGGCUUAAUACCUGAGUGAUGAAGUAAUCUGCGUAACAAACUCCCAUGACAACACAAGUUUACCUGUGUAACAAACCUGCACAUGUACCCCUG
Long non-coding RNA from Homo sapiens (human), 4282 nucleotides. Ensembl annotates it as long intergenic non-protein coding RNA 2207. The record is from Ensembl. NCBI's taxonomy places the organism in Eukaryota, Metazoa, Chordata, Mammalia, Primates, Hominidae.